RNAcentral lists this ribosomal RNA (445 nucleotides) under uncultured bacterium. Its description in RNAcentral is "bacterial SSU rRNA". It matches the Rfam family "Bacterial small subunit ribosomal RNA", at positions 336 to 795 of the family's 1533-position model. The record is from RNAcentral.
CCCCUACGGGGGGCUGCAGCAAGGAAUUUUCCACAAUGGGCGCAAGCCUGAUGGAGCAACGCCGCGUGGGGGAUGACGCUUUUCGGAGUGUAAACCCCUUUUCGAGAGGACGAAGCCAAUGACGGUACUCUCGGAAGAAGGACCGGCUAACUACGUGCCAGCAGCCGCGGUAAGACGUAGGGUCCGAGCGUUGUCCGGAGUUACUGGGCGUAAAGCGCGCGCAGGCGGUGUCGUACGGCGGGGGUGAAAGCCCCCCGCGCAACGGGGGAGGGUCAUUCGAAACGGCGGAACUGGAGGGAGGGAGAGGUCGGUGGAAUUCCCGGUGUAGUGGUGAAAUGCGUAGAUAUCGGGAGGAACACCAGUGGCGAAGGCGGCCGACUGGACCUGUACUGACGCUGAGGCGCGAAGGCGUGGGGAGCGAACGGGAUUAGAUACCCGUGUAGUC